GGGAGCCGUAACACAGGUGCUGCAUGGCUGUCGUCAGCUCGUGUCGUGAGAUGUUGGGUUAAGUCCCGCAACGAGCGCAACCCUUGUCAUUAGUUGCCAUCAUUAAGUUGGGCACUCUAAUGAGACUGCCGGUGACAAACCGGAGGAAGGUGGGGAUGACGUCAAGUCCUCAUGGCCCUUAUGAGCAGGGCUUCACACGUCAUACAAUGGUCGGUACAGAGGGUUGCCAAACCGCGAGGUGGAGCUAAUCUCUUAAAGCCGAUCGUAGUCCGGAUUGGAGUCUGCAACUCGACUCCAUGAAGU
Molecule: ribosomal RNA, 303 nt
Filed under: Vogesella sp. BC1_NA1B5
Lineage: Bacteria; Pseudomonadati; Pseudomonadota; Betaproteobacteria; Neisseriales; Chromobacteriaceae
Description: bacterial SSU rRNA
Rfam family: Bacterial small subunit ribosomal RNA
Source: RNAcentral